RNAcentral lists this ribosomal RNA (547 nucleotides) under Cerocoma ephesica. RNAcentral's name for it is "partial 16S ribosomal RNA". It matches the Rfam family "Bacterial large subunit ribosomal RNA", at positions 1797 to 2619 of the family's 2925-position model. The record is from RNAcentral. Lineage: Eukaryota; Metazoa; Arthropoda; Insecta; Coleoptera; Meloidae.
CGCCUGUUUAUCAAAAACAUGUCUUUUUGUUAAUUAUUUAAAGUCUGGCCUGCUCCAUGAGUAAUUAAAUAGCCGCAGUAUUUUGACUGUGCAAAGGUAGCAUAAUCAUUAGUUUUUUAAUUGAAAGCUGGUAUGAAUGGUCGGAUGAAGAAGAUUCUGUCUCAUUUUAAUUUAAAUUGAAUUUUAUUUUUAAGUCAAAAAGCUUAAAUUUUAUAGAAAGACGAGAAGACCCUAUAGAGUUUAAUAGGUUUAUUUUACAAUAAAUUUAGGAUUUUAUUUUUAUAGUGAUUUGAACUAUUUUGUUGGGGUGACAUAAGAAUUUAAAUAACUUCUUUUUAUAUUAACACUGAUUGGUGAAUACAGGAUCCUGAUUUUUGGAUUAUAAGAUUAAAUUACCUUAGGGAUAACAGCGUAAUUCUUUUGGAGAGUUCUAAUCAAUAAAAGGGAUUGCGACCUCGAUGUUGGAUUAAAGUUAAAUUUUGGUGCAGAAGCUAGGAUUUUAAGACUGUUCGACUUUUAAACUUUACGUGAUCUGAGUUAAGACCGG